GUAGGGAAUAUUGGGCAAUGGUCGGAAGACUGACCCAGCCAUGCCGCGUGCAGGAAGACGGCCCUCUGGGUUGUAAACUGCUUUUAUCUGGGAAGAAAAAGGCCAUGCGUGGCAAAUUGCCGGUACCAGAUGAAUAAGCACCGGCUAACUCCGUGCCAGCAGCCGCGGUAAUACGGAGGGUGCAAGCGUUGUCCGGAUUUAUUGGGUUUAAAGGGUGCGUAGGCGGCUGAUUAAGUCAGCGGUGAAAGACUCCGGCUUAACCGGAGCAGUGCCGUUGAUACUGGUUAGCUUGAGUGUUGGAGGGGUACAUGGAAUUGAUGGUGUAGCGGUGAAAUGCAUAGAUACCAUCAGGAACACCGAUAGCGAAGGCAUUGUACUGGCCAACAACUGACGCUGAUGCACGAAAGUGUGGGGAUCGAACAGGAUUAGAAACCCGUGUAGUCC
This 444-nucleotide ribosomal RNA is filed under the name uncultured bacterium. RNAcentral describes it as "partial 16S ribosomal RNA". It matches the Rfam family "Bacterial small subunit ribosomal RNA", at positions 354 to 796 of the family's 1533-position model. The record is from RNAcentral.